GUAGGUGGCAAGCGUUGUCCGGAAUUAUUGGGCGUAAAGCGCGCGCAGGCGGUUCUUUAAGUCUGAUGUGAAAGCCCACGGGCUCAACCGUGGAGGGUCAUUGGAAACUGGAGAACUUGAGUACAGAAGAGGAAAGCGGAAUUCCACGUGUAGCGGUGAAAUGCGUAGAGAUGUGGAGGAACACCAGUGGCGAAGGCGGCUUUCUGGUCUGUAACUGACGCUGAGGCGCGAAAGCGUGGGGAGCAAACAGGAUUAGAUACCCUGGUAGUCCACGCCGUAAACGAUGAGUGCUAAGUGUCAGGGGGUUUCCGCCCCUUAGUGCUGCAGCCAACGCAUUAAGCACUCCGCCUGGGGAGUACGGCCGCAAGGCUG
This 372-nucleotide ribosomal RNA is filed under the name uncultured organism. Its description in RNAcentral is "partial 16S ribosomal RNA". It matches the Rfam family "Bacterial small subunit ribosomal RNA", at positions 527 to 896 of the family's 1533-position model. The record is from RNAcentral.